This 989-nucleotide ribosomal RNA is filed under the name Acinetobacter sp. Its description in RNAcentral is "bacterial SSU rRNA". It matches the Rfam family "Bacterial small subunit ribosomal RNA", at positions 75 to 1060 of the family's 1533-position model. Lineage: Bacteria; Pseudomonadati; Pseudomonadota; Gammaproteobacteria; Moraxellales; Moraxellaceae. The record is from RNAcentral.
GUAGCUUGCUACAUUACCUAGCGGCGGACGGGUGAGUAAUGCUUAGGAAUCUGCCUAUUAGUGGGGGACAACAUUCCGAAAGGAAUGCUAAUACCGCAUACGUCCUACGGGAGAAAGCAGGGGACCUUCGGGCCUUGCGCUAAUAGAUGAGCCUAAGUCGGAUUAGCUAGUUGGUGGGUAAAGGCCUACCAAGGCGACGAUCUGUAGCGGGUCUGAGAGGAUGAUCCGCCACACUGGGACUGAGACACGGCCCAGACUCCUACGGGAGGCAGCAGUGGGGAAUAUUGGACAAUGGGGGGAACCCUGAUCCAGCCAUGCCGCGUGUGUGAAGAAGGCCUUUUGGUUGUAAAGCACUUUAAGCGAGGAGGAGGCUACUAGUAUUAAUACUACUGGAUAGUGGACGUUACUCGCAGAAUAAGCACCGGCUAACUCUGUGCCAGCAGCCGCGGUAAUACAGAGGGUGCGAGCGUUAAUCGGAUUUACUGGGCGUAAAGCGUGCGUAGGCGGCUGAUUAAGUCGGAUGUGAAAUCCCUGAGCUUAACUUAGGAAUUGCAUUCGAUACUGGUCAGCUAGAGUAUGGGAGAGGAUGGUAGAAUUCCAGGUGUAGCGGUGAAAUGCGUAGAGAUCUGGAGGAAUACCGAUGGCGAAGGCAGCCAUCUGGCCUAAUACUGACGCUGAGGUACGAAAGCAUGGGGAGCAAACAGGAUUAGAUACCCUGGUAGUCCAUGCCGUAAACGAUGUCUACUAGCCGUUGGGGCCUUUGAGGCUUUAGUGGCGCAGCUAACGCGAUAAGUAGACCGCCUGGGGAGUACGGUCGCAAGACUAAAACUCAAAUGAAUUGACGGGGGCCCGCACAAGCGGUGGAGCAUGUGGUUUAAUUCGAUGCAACGCGAAGAACCUUACCUGGUCUUGACAUAGUAAGAACUUUCCAGAGAUGGAUUGGUGCCUUCGGGAACUUACAUACAGGUGCUGCAUGGCUGUCGUCAGCU